GACGAACCGUACGAACGUUAUCCGGAUUCACUGGGCGUAAAGGGCGCGUAGGCGGCUACGUAAGUCCGGCGUGAAAUCCCAGGGCUCAACCCUGGAACUGCGUCGGAUACUGCGUUGGCUGGAGGAUGGUAGAGGUUCGGGGAACUAGCGGUGUAGCGGUGAAAUGCGCAGAUAUCGCUAGGAACGCCGGUGGCGAAGGCGCCGGACUGGGCCAUUCCUGACGCUGAGGCGCGAAAGCUAGGGGAGCGAACCGG
RNAcentral lists this unclassified non-coding RNA (254 nucleotides) under uncultured bacterium. RNAcentral's name for it is "contains 16S-23S intergenic spacer region". It matches the Rfam family "Bacterial small subunit ribosomal RNA", at positions 524 to 776 of the family's 1533-position model. The record is from RNAcentral.